GAUGAACGCUGGCGGCGUGCCUAAUACAUGCAAGUCGAGCGAACGGACGAGAAGCUUGCUUCUCUGAUGUUAGCGGCGGACGGGUGAGUAACACGUGGAUAACCUACCUAUAAGACUGGGAUAACUUCGGGAAACCGUAGCUAAUACCGGAUAAUAUUUUGAACCGCAUGGUUCAAAAGUGAAAGACGGUCUUGCUGUCACUUAUAGAUGGAUCCGCGCUGCAUUAGCUAGUUGGUAAGGUAACGGCUUACCAAGGCAACGAUGCAUAGCCGACCUGAGAGGGUGAUCGGCCACACUGGAACUGAGACACGGUCCAGAAUCCUACGGGAGGCAGCAGUAGGGAAUCUUCCGCAACGGGCGAAAGCCUGACGGAGCAACGCCGCGUGAGUGAUGAAGGUCUUCGGAUCGUAAAACUCUGUUAUUAGGGAAGAACAUAUGUGUAAGUAACUGUGCACAUCUUGACGGUACCUAAUCAGAAAGCCACGGCUAACUACGUG
RNAcentral lists this ribosomal RNA (497 nucleotides) under uncultured bacterium. RNAcentral describes it as "partial 16S ribosomal RNA". It matches the Rfam family "Bacterial small subunit ribosomal RNA", at positions 28 to 507 of the family's 1533-position model. The record is from RNAcentral.